RNAcentral lists this ribosomal RNA (480 nucleotides) under marine sediment bacterium ISA-1301. RNAcentral's name for it is "bacterial SSU rRNA". It matches the Rfam family "Bacterial small subunit ribosomal RNA", at positions 37 to 496 of the family's 1533-position model. The record is from RNAcentral.
UGGCGGCAGGCCUAACACAUGCAAGUCGAGCGGCAGCGACAUGAACAAUCCUUCGGGUGCGUUCAUGGGCGGCGAGCGGCGGACGGGUGAGUAAUGCCUGGGAAUAUGCCCUGAUGUGGGGGAUAACCAUUGGAAACGAUGGCUAAUACCGCAUAAUCUCUUCGGAGCAAAGAGGGGGACCUUCGGGCCUCUCGCGUCAGGAUUAGCCCAGGUGAGAUUAGCUAGUUGGUGGGGUAAGAGCUCACCAAGGCGACGAUCUCUAGCUGGUCUGAGAGGAUGAUCAGCCACACUGGAACUGAGACACGGUCCAGACUCCUACGGGAGGCAGCAGUGGGGAAUAUUGCACAAUGGGGGAAACCCUGAUGCAGCCAUGCCGCGUGUGUGAAGAAGGCCUUCGGGUUGUAAAGCACUUUCAGUCGUGAGGAAGGCAUAUGCGUUAAUAGCGCAUGUGCUUGACGUUAGCGACAGAAGAAGCACCGG